RNAcentral lists this long non-coding RNA (4908 nucleotides) under Homo sapiens (human). Its description in RNAcentral is "HSALNT0157889". The record is from RNAcentral. Lineage: Eukaryota; Metazoa; Chordata; Mammalia; Primates; Hominidae.
CUUAUUGUAAUUUGCUUAAGCAGACGUUACGAUACUAAAUUGGCUUCGUAUUAUGCACAGAGGUACUAGCUUCCAAUACCUUCUGAAAUAAGCAAGCAGAAGGGGUAAUUAAAUCUUGUCUUUUUCUUCACAUUGCUCGGCAUGUUCUUUUAUUUUUCUGGCUCCUAUGCUGACAACCCAGCAGGAGAUUUUACAAGCCCAAAAUACCUGAUUACUUCCCAACCCCAGAGAAAGGGACAGAACAUGCUUGGGAAGAAGGAAAGCUAAUGGCAGCUUCGCUGGAGGUGAGAACAGGGUGAAAGUUGAGGAAGCUCAGAGCGGAAUGAAUUCCAAACAGCUUGGGCAGGGCUGACCUCGCCGUCUGCCGUGUCCUGAGAGGCAGGUGUCGCACUGCAGUCACAUCGCUGUUCUUUCAUUGUGUGAUGAAUUUCCAAUACAUCCCCGACAUGGCAGGGGAGGCGGGUUCCAAAGUGGAACCGUGUUCGAGCAUUCUGUCUUCUACUGCUCCCUCAGUGGCGUAAACAUAGAAGUCGUGAUUUGCUUAGAACAACUCCUGGCAAUGAAGGGAGUGGCUGAGACACUGGCCUGGGAUUCCAGGCCUUCCCCAGCAAACGCAUAGUGCAGGCCACCUGCGCUCUGCUCCGGUAAAAAUGCCGCACAGCGUCUGAUGCGUCCGCACUGCCUGGACCUGGGAACACUCAUCCCACAGGAGAAAGAAACCUGAUGUACUCAUCCAUCAGGACCACGACUCUCAGAACACGCAUCCAACUAGCCGUCUGCGGUUGGGUAGAGAGGCCCUGGGGCACACUUUUAGCCCUGCUAGAAAGUUGGCCUCGUAACUGGCCGGCUUAUUCCAGGAAUGUUUUCAUUUUUCUUUCUAAGGUCAACCUGAUCACACUGCCGAGGCUACAAGCACACAAAGGCUGCAGGCACAUAAACAAAAGAUGAAAAAACAGACUCCCGGGCAGAGAAAACAGGGUCAGAGGUGUUGCCGUGCCUGUGAGGCCUUUGCUGGCCGCCUGCGUUCCGGUGGCAGCCAGUGACCGUCCUGCACCUUCCUGCCGACUGCAGAGACCUCAGGCCACCCUUGGCUCUGACCUGUGUUUCCCAGGCUGCCUCUGCACCUGCCUGCUAAAGCCUUCCUCGGUUUCCUUUGCCAGAUGCACACACACUCUAGGUCCACACAGAGUCCCCCGGACUCGCUCCACCCUGUCAAGCCUCUGCACGUGGCAAUUUCUUCUUUUUUUUUUCCUGGUUCGACCACCUUGGCCUGGUUUUUCAUCUUUUUGUUUUAACUCCCUUCGUGUGUCACGCACCUUCCCUUUCAACUGUGCUGCACACACUGGAUUCUGCUGUUGCUUUUCUGAGCUAAUUCCUACCUGUCCUUCAGUUCUCAACCUGCACGUCAGCUCUUCACGGAACCAGCUCCUCCACCUCCCUGAAGAGGUGCAGACCUUCCAGCCUGUGCUACCUGACCAUCAGGGAUUCUUCAUGGAAUGUAUCACAGGUGUCAUCAACGAGUCACUUGGAGAUUGACUUGGAUGAGAGCUAUUUCUCCCUGUAGCUAUUUUUGCCUAAUUACAAAAAAAGGAAAAGAUGGCUCCUUCCCCAGUAUUUCUGAGUGUCUUUCUGAGGAAGGGAAGCUGUGUGCCUGGCCAUGCUGACGUGGCCCACCACUGCCUGGCUUGACCUUCUCCUCCUCCCAACACCUCUGAGAUGUUAUCGUCUCCCAUGAUGCUUCCACUCACUGCCGUUCUGUUUGAUCUUAACCUGAACGUGACUCCCAUCAGGGCUCCUGGUCACUUACAGCGAUUGACUGAAGCUUUACUGAGGAUGGUGUGCGGCGCCUAUAGUAGAAGAUAAAUUAAUCCAGUUUAGUCCAUAAAUGCUCUAUAGUGGUUGAUGGUUGUAAUUUAUCAUAGAAAUUUUGCAUCAUUUAACAGAUUGAUAGAUUCAAAUUUUAGUGGCUAUAAACUGACAUUUUAAAACAAAACAUGACAAGAUGGCAACUAUGCUUUUACAUGACUAGCAUUUUAACAGAGACCCACUUCUCACUCAAAACCAGCUGAAGUUAGAGUUUUGCCUCUGUCCACAGCUAGCUCAGGCGGUGGCUCUUUCUCCUCUGCAUUCAAAGCACUCAUUGAACUCCCAGGAAAAGACUCAUAGUUUAGAGUGCUACUGAGAGUUUUGUGUGUCUGUCUUGUCUCAGAAAUUGCAUUAUUCACCCAUUGAGAGCAGUGAGGGUGUUUGCUAGUUCUUUAAUUUGACAUAGAGUUUGACAUGGAAUGGUAAUCAAUACACAUUGACUGAUGUGUUGGUGAAAACUGGGGGGCCCUGAUGUCCCCAGUAGAGUAAGAAACACAAACCCAUGCUUUUAGGUCAACACCACACAACGUCAUAAAUGGACAAUUUAUAAAUCACUUGAACUUGCUAUUUUUAACAAGUAUACAAAUCUUUGUGUAGCACUCGGAAAGAUUGCAUUGAAGCCUUACCAAUGAAAAGCUAUGAUUUUAAACAUAAAACAAAACUAGGUACCUGUGCAUGCGGCUUGACAGUUGCACAACCUGCCAGACCCUGCUGCACUUUGAAAUGUUGCCAUACUCAGCACUUCAGCUCCAACUGAAAAACACUCAGAGAAGCGGCUCGUGUUUAACAAAAGCCUUCUGUGUCAUCCCAAACUGAGUGUUUAGCACCUGGCCUUCCUCCUGCAGGAGGCCUCACAUCAUGGCAGAAGGUGAAGGAGAAGCAAAGGCACGUCCUAUAUGGCUGCAGGCAAGAGAGCGUGUCCUGCCCUUUAUAAAGCCAUCGGAUCUUGUGAGACUUAAUCACCAUCACAAGAACAGCAUGGGCAAGGCCUGCCUCCAUCAUUCAAUUACCUCCCACUUGGUCCCUCCCAUGACAUGUGGGAAUUAUGGGAGCUACAAUUCAAGAUGAGAUUUGGGUGAGGACACAGCCAAACCAUACCAUAUAUGUGUGUGUAUAUUUGUGUGUGUGUAUAUAUACAUACACACACACACACACAAUCAAUAGGACAUAUAUAUUCGUUCUGUUUCUCUGGAGAAUCCUGACUAACAUAGUUGUCAAUGCAAAAACAUAACGACUUUCUUUCUUUCUUGAAAUAAGUAAGUGAUCUCUUUCAGGCAGCUGUUGAUGGACUGUCCGAUAUGUUUAAUUAUUUUCUUAUUUCAGCCACUUCUCUACAUUAGAUAUUUUUGAUAGUCAAUAUACAGAAUUGUACUUUGAAUCAUUGAGCACAGAGCAUUAAAUCUUAUACAUGGAAGAUUCUCAUUAGAUAUUUAUUUAGGAUGGCUUUCUGAUUGCUGUAACUUACAUUUAGUUGACAAGCACGAAAGCAUUUUACAAGAGUUAGGAAGCAGCUGCUCCAACCUCAUGAACGAAGGAAAGGAGAGGGCCAGAAGGCCAUUCUACCUCACGCCCUGUCUCCCAAUAAUCUCCAAUAUGAGCUGUUAGACAACCCCUUUAAGGAGAAGUUUACAUCCUGAGUAUUUCCAAAGAUCGGUAGUGUGUGGCUUACACUCUCAUGCAAAAUUCAGAUCUUAGAAAAGAGGAGCUGAGUGUAGAGCCACCCAGAGCCUGAGAAAAUGCGUUUAAAGGCUCUCAACCUUGCAGGAGGUGCUGCAAAUCGAACCCAGAAAACUGACCACCCCAGUGUAAUGGCACUGGGCCUCUGUCACUUAGCAGGACUUGUUUUUCUCCUGUCUCAGGUCUGGUUCCCCAGAAGCAAACCCGAACUCACUAGAAUUAAGACCAGAAUUUGCCUUCAAGCAGGUGAAACUGACAGGGAAGAGGAAGAAGAGGAAGGGGCCCACCCACAGCCUCAUCUCAGGCAAGGUCCCUGGUGCUGCAGUCUGGCCCCAGAGGAGAAUCCUGAGUGUUCACUCUUUCCAGGGGCCGGGGAGUCAGGCUUUCAGACGCUGUCACACAAGUUACCAGAGUGAAGGGGUAAGACUCCAGGCACCCGGCUUGAAGACACAUUGGCCCGGAGUAAACGCUGUUCUGCCAACUGCGGGUGUUGCAGCCAAUUCCUUUCUAAUCCUUAAUUUCCUUGUCUGUAUGAAGGACAGUCAUGGAAGUUGCAUGAGACAUGCAUCCAAUGUUUGCCACAGAGGAAGUCCUCUGCAGGCAUUAACUCUCAUGUUAUUAAAGCGCCUGCCAUUUUAUGGUGACUUCCUCUUUUCACAUUAAUCUGUCUUAUUCUGCUAUCAUCCUUUUCAUGUUACAAACCUGAAAGCUAAUAAAAGAUUACCAAUUCCACUACAGUAUAUAUUCUAUCCUUGGGUCUUUUAUUUUGGCAUAGUCUAAAGCACUGUGCAGCACAUAGAAGUGUCCAAUAAAUCUUUGGCAAAUUAAAGAGAUUGAAGUAUUAAUAGCAUUAACAUUCAUUCUGUAUUUUCUUUGUGCUGGGCCCCGUCCUAAGUGUUUUACAUGCUUGAACUCCUUUAAUCUUUACUAACCGUCUUGAAACGUAAGUACUGUAUGAAUGAAAUACAUUUUUGAUGAAUUAAAAGAAUGCCGUUUUUGUUGCCAUAGCAACACGGGUCUGAAAAUAUGAAUCCAAGUUUAGAAGCCGUAAUCAUUGUUUUCUGCCUCAGUUUUAAUGUGCUGUUGAAGGUAUUUAUAUGAAAAUAGCUACAGCAAGGGACCUGCCCCCAGGGCGAUUUUUAUCAUCGAUGUCAUUGCUUCCCAAGAUUGAAAGCGGUUGUUCUAAAAUCUGGAUCCCCAAAAUCUGGUAGGGCAGCAUUUCGUGAACUAAGGCACCCAGACCCAGGAGGUCCUUGGUAACAUUUCAGAGACCUGUAAAACCAAAGGAGGAAAGUUGGUAGGUAUUUAGGAAGUUGGGUUUGGAUUCAAUUGUUAAACAACUUAAAACAUUAGUUUCUAGUGAAA